Molecule: long non-coding RNA, 1415 nt
Filed under: Betta splendens (Siamese fighting fish)
Lineage: Eukaryota; Metazoa; Chordata; Actinopteri; Anabantiformes; Osphronemidae
Description: lncRNA (ENSBSLG00000005842.1)
Source: RNAcentral
CUGCCGUGCAGCUGAAGGUGCCGCGGGGCGCAGGGCGCGAGGAGGCGCAGGGCGCGAGGAGCGGCUGCGGGACCGGAAGGCUCGCCGCGUGCACGCCGCAGGCCUCCAGCUCCCUGGACGGAAGGCGUUUAGAGAGAAAGAGAGCUGUUAAAGCCCGCGGUGGCUGGGAUUUACCUCAGGUCGGAAACGGGGGGGGGUUCUAAUAACAAGUGACGUCAUCAGUGAAGAGACAUUACCUGCAUCGCAUCACAUGCAGAGAACGUUUACUCAAGCAGAACGGUUCCUGGAAUAAAACAUAUUUCACAAUCAUAUGAAAAACCCAAACGGGGGGGGGGGGGUAGAAAGCCCCGAGAGACCCCCAAAUAGCCCACGACCACCUUCUCCUCUCCAGACACACAACCUGCUCUUCUGCCAGCAUUCCUCGCUGUCCGACUCAAACCAGAGAGCGUGGAGCUGUGCAGAUGAGAGGGAAGGCCACUCAAACAUGCAGGGAAUGGAGGGAAGAAGCCAUACCAGGAGUCGGCGUUAGGGAACUUUCAGUGAUUUCUUUAGAUUUCGAUGCACACAUUAACAAAUGCACAAACUCAGACCAGCUGACUGUCAAUUAUUGGGCUUCUCAUGUGCUGAACUGUGAAACGCUCAGAUUCCACCGACAAAAUCGUCUCACACGCCACAUUUAAUGCAACGCGUACGUUUGGGCACGCUUCCCAAGUCACGCGUUCCCACCCGGUUCUAAUUUGAACGACGCUCUCUAGAGUGAUGCUGCGACCGAGGGACGCUGAACGCAGCGGGAGACGUCCGUACCUCCGCCGCUAGAGGGCGCUGUUGGCUCUGAUUCCCGCCUGCACCGCUGCAGGAAGCCCGGAGGCUGGAGACGCCGAUCAGAGGACGCUUCUCCGGCGCGCGGAGACACGUGGAGCCGCCUGCGGGUCGCGGUUUGUGCGCACGACUGCAAAGAAUACAAGACUGGUGAUGCAUCCGCACCCGUCAGAAGUCAGGAGGCCUGUGUUUGCUCCAGGGAUUACAUUACCACACCACAGAGCUGCCAGACAGACCCGCUGCACCACCACCCAAGGGAUCCAUGCUGCAGCUCACGCGAAAUUUAUUGCCGGUGAACCCCUUCGGCUCAGCCCUGCCUCCAUGCGCGCCUGUUGGUGUUCUCUUCCUCACUCGCUUCCUGGUUCUGAGGUCCGCGUGCGUCCGACAGCAGGGUUCAGCUGCUCGGACCGACUCAUCACCGUUGACGUCGGUAGAGUACUCGCUAAAGUAGUCACUCGUUGCUGCAGGAGGAAAGGUGCGUUUGGCUUCACAAGUAACUGUGUGAAUGUGUGACUUAUUCAGGACAAACUGUCUCUUUUCCCUUUUGUAUAUAAUGUUUGAAUAAAUAAUGACAGUUAGGGAAUUUCCUGAGGUUC